GUGUUGAUCCUCCAGCUGAUCAAACAUUGAUUUGUCUCGAAAACAGAACGCCGGCCUUGUCCUUCAUCUCUCUAUGUCUCGUAUCAAGGCAGAA
Molecule: non-coding RNA, 94 nt
Organism: Caenorhabditis elegans
Lineage: Eukaryota; Metazoa; Nematoda; Chromadorea; Rhabditida; Rhabditidae
Source: Ensembl